Long non-coding RNA from Phragmites australis (common reed), 1025 nucleotides. RefSeq lists it as uncharacterized. Lineage: Eukaryota; Viridiplantae; Streptophyta; Magnoliopsida; Poales; Poaceae. The record is from RefSeq and is a predicted model, not a curated record. The transcript is spliced from 4 exons.
GGUGACUGUGAUAGAUGCCACGUCAGCGGUUAUGACUUUUUCACUUUUCACUCGACCAGUCCGGUUAUUUACAGGAGAGCGGAGUCCUCGCCUCUGGAAUCUGGAUGGGUGAGAUCAGCUGAGGGGAUGUGGAUGGAUGGUUGGAUGGAUGGACCGGCGCGUGAUUUUCUUCUCCGGGGUUGGUGUUGAUAGCCUUUCGAGGGUGAUGUCGCUUGUUUCGUCGGCUUGUGCGUCUGGAUGAAAAGGGUAACGAGUGUGGAUAGAAGUCUUAUAUUGGCGGUGCCGAGAAGCUGUUCUGCCAAACAAUGCAACCCACGCUUGAAAGGUCAACGCUAACACUAUAGAAAGUACUCCUCAUAAGAGUUUGAGGUCGAGGAUCAAAGCUGGAUCAUUUUCUUAUCAAUCAACACUUCCACUUUAUCAUUUUCAUCGCCACCAAGCAAUUUUUCAAUAGAGUUGAAGAGCCUAAUGACACCGUCGGGUGCUACCACUGAGAGAUGGUGCAAGGUUGUGCAGCGUCUUACCGGCCAGACGAGCGUGCUGCCAUGGAUGCAGAAGUCAUGUGCUAUGGCAACCAUGGACGGGAGGGGCAUGUACCCGUUACUUACCAGGGAGGGGAUCCUUAACGGUAUAACACUUUCCUUACCAAGGAGGGGAUCAUCCGUUGCCGGUGAUCUUUUAUUAUUAUUAUUUUUAGGGGCAAGCAUCCCGGCCUGCAGGGACCAGGAUCCAUCUGUUGCCGGUGAUCUUGAUCCUAGAUUUCUCUAAGGUUGCGCUUACCAAGGGAUCAUCACCUGAAGCCUCCACACCGCCAACGGCGAUCAGCCUCGCCAACAUCACCUUGACGAGAGGAUCUCCGAUAUUGGGUUUCUCACCUCGGCUAAUGCUUUCUUUUCCUUCAAGCAGCGAUUGUCAGGAAUAUCUUCCUGCAAAGAAAUGGCAGCUGGUAGUAACCUCCUGCACCUAAGAGAAAGCCAAAGAAGCGGCUCAUGUUGAUGAUUCCAAUGAAAAAGAGGAUGACGAAC